GACGUAGGAGGCGAGCGUUGUCCGGAUUCAUUGGGCGUAAAGAGCACGCAGGCGGUUUGGCAAGUCGGGGGUGAAAGCCCGAGGCUCAACCUCGGAACUGCCUUCGAUACUGCGGGUCUCGAGUCCGGGAGAGGUGAGUGGAAUUCCUAGUGUAGAGGUGAAAUGCGCAGAUAUCAGGAGGAACACCAAUGGCGAAGGCAGCACUCUGGGACGUGACUGACGCUGAGACGCGAAAGCGUGGGGAGCAAACAGG
Molecule: ribosomal RNA, 253 nt
Filed under: uncultured bacterium
Lineage: Bacteria
Description: partial 16S ribosomal RNA
Rfam family: Bacterial small subunit ribosomal RNA
Source: RNAcentral